CAGUAGCCGCGGGAAAACGUAGGGUGCGAGCGUUAAUCGGAAUUACUGGGCGUAAAGCGUGCGCAGGCGGUUGUGUAAGACAGGUGUGAAAUCCCCGGGCUUAACCUGGGAACUGCGCUUGUGACUGCACAGCUAGAGUAUGGCAGAGGGGGGUGGAAUUCCACGUGUAGCAGUGAAAUGCGUAGAGAUGUGGAGGAACACCGAUGGCGAAGGCAGCCCCCUGGGCCAAUACUGACGCUCAUGCACGAAAGCGUGGGGAGCAAACAGGAUUAGAUACCCGCGUAGUCCCUGUCUCUUAUAC
Molecule: ribosomal RNA, 301 nt
Filed under: uncultured bacterium
Lineage: Bacteria
Description: partial 16S ribosomal RNA
Rfam family: Bacterial small subunit ribosomal RNA
Source: RNAcentral